UACGUAUGGGGCGAGCGAUGUUCGAAUUUACUGGGCGUAAAGGGCUUGUAGGUGGUGAGAUAAGUCGGAUGUGAAAUCCCCGGGCUCAACCCGGGAACUGCAUUCGAAACUAUCCCGCUAGAGUACCGGAGAGGGAAACGGAAUUCCUGGUGUAGGGGUGAAAUCUGUAGAUAUCAGUAAGAACACCGGUGGCUAAUGCGGUUUCCUGGCCGGAUACUGACACUGAUGAGUGAAUGCUAGGGGAGCAAACAGG
RNAcentral lists this ribosomal RNA (253 nucleotides) under uncultured bacterium. RNAcentral describes it as "partial 16S ribosomal RNA". It matches the Rfam family "Bacterial small subunit ribosomal RNA", at positions 524 to 776 of the family's 1533-position model. The record is from RNAcentral.